AUUGAACGCUGGCGGCAUGCCUUACACAUGCAAGUCGAACGGUAACGCGGGGCAACCUGGCGACGAGUGGCGAACGGGUGAGUAAUGCAUCGGAACGUGCCCAGUAGUGGGGGAUAGCCCGGCGAAAGCCGGAUUAAUACCGCAUACGACCUACGGGUGAAAGCGGGGGACCGUAAGGCCUCGCGCUAUUGGAGCGGCCGAUGUCAGAUUAGGUAGUUGGUGGGGUAAAGGCCUACCAAGCCUUCGAUCUGUAGCUGGUCUGAGAGGACGACCAGCCACACUGGGACUGAGACACGGCCCAGACUCCUACGGGAGGCAGCAGUGGGGAAUUUUGGACAAUGGGCGCAAGCCUGAUCCAGCAAUGCCGCGUGAGUGAAGAAGGCCUCGGUU
RNAcentral lists this ribosomal RNA (390 nucleotides) under uncultured bacterium. RNAcentral describes it as "bacterial SSU rRNA". It matches the Rfam family "Bacterial small subunit ribosomal RNA", at positions 29 to 424 of the family's 1533-position model. The record is from RNAcentral.